GUUUUGUGUUUUAGGCGGCACGAAGUCCGCACGACAUUCUUUGACUGGAGUUUGGUAUGCGGCAUCGAGGACCCGGCGCGAACCGGUUCCCCUCCGCCGUGAAGGUUCACAGUGGGUUUGUGAGGUUUGGACGGGGACGGACGCCCGCUGCACGGCCCGUUUGGACCGGAGCAGGGCGAACCGCACCCCGUCGGAGAUACGUUAAUGAUCCUUCCGCAGGUUCACCUACGGAAA
RNAcentral lists this unclassified non-coding RNA (234 nucleotides) under uncultured fungus. RNAcentral describes it as "sequence contains ITS1". The record is from RNAcentral. Lineage: Eukaryota; Fungi.